Phyllostomus hastatus (greater spear-nosed bat) is the source of this 4015-nucleotide long non-coding RNA. RefSeq lists it as uncharacterized. NCBI's taxonomy places the organism in Eukaryota, Metazoa, Chordata, Mammalia, Chiroptera, Phyllostomidae. The transcript is spliced from 4 exons. The record is from RefSeq and is a predicted model, not a curated record.
UUCACUCGCAACACCGGCUUCACCACUGGUUCCGCUCACCGCUCUCGGUGUUUGGGGACGCCUCCCGCCUCCCGGGUGGCCAGAGGGACUUCCUCGAGGAAACUGGCCUCCAGGAAACUGGCUGCACCAGCUGGAGCUGGAAGGGAAACUAGAGAUAAACGAAGAAGGCAAAAGACGGAGUCUCCUACUGCGAACCCCCCAGCACCAGAACAAAGCGCAGAUCUGGGGACGCCGAGUGGACGCGAAUCGUGUCUGGACGGGUUUGGGCCUGAGAGAGACAGAACGCGAACCCCGCGUCCUAGCUGUGGGGCCGCUGAGCCCAGAACAAACUGCUAGGGAGUGGAGGGACCGACCACAUCCCUCCGGGCGGCAUCCUUCUGCGCGGCGGUCAGCAGCUCCGGAGUUCGGAGUUCAGAUUUUGGAGGAAGACGGGAAACAACUUGGGGCUGGAAAAGCUGCUCAACACCGCCCGGGGGUACCAGAGGCCUCGGGACACCCGGCCCCUGCGCCCUCUCCUACCUCCUCCCCCACCUUCGCCAACCUGCAGACCUACGCAGGUCCGUGGGAGAAUCCCUCCCUGAGCAGAAGGAGCAGUUGCGUGACCUCCAGCUCAGUCUCUUCCUCCUGGGGUGAAAAGACAAGGGAGGGGUAAGGUUGGGCCUGUUCGCCAAGGCCCCUGAAGCGCUGCGAUGUCGGGGAUUCCUGGACCUGGACCGGGACUGGCCGGUACAGUCCUGCGUAUUGUGCCCUCAGCUCUUCCAGGGUGUGAACGCGGACUGAAGUGCACCCCUGGCAGAGCGUGGCACCCAGAGGUGACCGAGGGCGCCUAGAGGGGGCGCACUUUUGUGACUGGCAUGAAGGCAGUUUCUGUGAUUCCGAUGCUGAGGUCAGGGAAGGUGGUCUGGUCAGAAUUCUGAACCCUCGACUGCCAAAGUCUGUUGGAGGCUAGGAUGCUAGGGUCUCUCGAGGCAGGGAUCUCAUUUAAUUCUCAAAGAAGAACACUGCAAGGGGUGUCCUAUUAUUACUCCCACUUUAUAGAUGAGAAAACUGAGGAAUGAUAAAAUGAAGAAACUUUUCCAAAUUCACAAUUAGUGUCAGGGAGGAUUGAACCUGCAUGCUGUUGAGCUUCAAAGCUUGUUCUCUGUGCUGAAUUUGCUCCUAAAUAUCUGAUUCAGUCUUCCCUCUCUCUGUCUUCAUUUCAGUUCGUUUCUCUUCUUCCCUCUGUACACACCACUCGUUUUUGUGUCUUUCUUGUCUCUCUGUCUCCAUCUGCGUCUCAUCCCUUUUUCUAGACAAUAUCCAGGCCAUGGUCUCCCUGUCUCUCUCUCUGUUAGUCUCAAUUUGUCUCUUGUUUUCAUUUUAAAGUGAAGUCUACUCUUUCUUUCUAUGAUAAAGUUAAUGCAAGUUCAUAACUAAAGUUUAAAAAAUACAGAAAUGCAUAAAAGGAGACAAAAACCCACUUAUGACUUCACCCACCUCUCCACCCCACAUCUGGAACAAUUUUAUCAAUGUGCCGAAGUUAUAUAUAUAUAUAUAUGAUUUGUGACAUAGUAGCACAUUCAUUUGAAAGAUUUAGUCCAUUCAAAAGCAUACAAGUUGGAGAACUAAAGGAAUCUUUCAGUCCCACUUCCUGGAAGUAAUUCUUUUUAACAGUAACUAUUACUCCUCUUCCUGCCCCUCCACUCCCCUUUUUAUCAGCAAUUUCUCCCCAGUGGAACCCGGCUGUGUAAAAAUUAGUAGCCUGCUUUUUGUGUCUUACCGUGGCCUUUAAUUUGCAUCUCCCACAUGUCUGACUAUACUGUAUCAGUUAGGGCCCCAGCAGGAAACAGAUGGCCCAAUCAAUUUAGGGUAAUUUGAGGUGGAUAUCAUACCAGGAGUGUUUACAAAGGGGUUUGAGAGUGAAGUGGGCAUAGUGCAAGGCCUUGAGUCCUUCCUGGGGGAGGGUCUGCCACCCCUAGGCCUGAAGGGAGGGGAGCAGGCAGGGAGUGCUUACCUGACCUGGCAAGGGCAGGCCUGUGCACAGGGCAGGGAAACAGACUAGCUGUGGUGGUCCUGAAGGGAGAAAGCCUGGGGAAUAAUUGCUCUGACCUCUCAGAGAAUAAAGAGCGUCCUUCCCCUCUCCCUGGUCCUACUGCUAGGCUACCAGUUAGCUGCACCCAGUGGAGGGCAAGGGCCAGCUUCCUGUGGCCCAGAGCAGGGUGGAGAUGUGGGAAGAGUGGACCUGGCAGGGCAAUGACAACGUGCCACAUAUACCGUUACUGAUGCUCCCAUUCAACAGGAUCUCGGAGUAACCAAUGCCCUCCAGAGCUGCAGGUUUGCAUUUGAAUGAAGUCCAACUUAUCAACUCCUUUUUUCAUGGAUCAUGAUUUUCAUGUAUGUAAAAGUCAUCAGCACUGAUUGGUAUGGCCCAGCUGGUAAAGCAUCACAAAGCAAAAUGUCACUCGUUCAGUUCCUGGUCAAGGCAUAUGCCUGGAUUGCAGGUGAAUGUCCAGUUGUUGCAAUACCAUUUGUUGAGAAGACUAUCUUUUCUCCACUGAAUUACUGCCGGGGUCCAGCCUCGGCGAGUCUAAGGGUCCCCGAAGGAGGAACAGCUCAGGUCCUGAUUGGGGGUGUGGUUCAUGGACCCCAACUUAAAGUAUAUCUACAGCAGUUACCUGUGAUGUAGUGGAUCUAUAUAUGUGGACAUGGAAAAAUCGUCAAGAUAUAUUACAGUUAAGAAAGUAAAUUGCUGAAUACUUAGUGUGACAUACUUGUGUUUAGAAGUAGUCACAUACACAAAAGGAGUUCAGUGAAGAACAGCAGCCUUUUCAACAAAUGGUACUGGAGCAAUCGGACAUCCACAGGACAAAAAGUGAACUUUGACUCAAGCUCACACCUAAAACAAAAAUGACCUCCAAAUGGAUCAUGGACUUAGAUGUAAAAUAUAAAGCUAUAAAACUUUUAGAAAAAGUUUAGAACAUUUUUGGGAUCUAUGCCUAGGCAAAGAGUUCUUAGACUUGACACCAAGGGCUCAAUCCAUAACAGGAAAAACUGACCAACUGGCCUGACAAAAGACUGGUAUCUAGAACAGAUAAAGAACUCUCAAACUCAACAGUAAAAAAAUUAAACAAUCCACUUGGAAGACAGACAAAAGACACGAAGGCACAUUUCACCAAAGUGGAUGCACAGAGGGGAAACAGCCCAUGCAGGGGUGCUCAAUACCACUAGCUGGUAGAGGAAUGCAAAUUAAAACCACAGUGAGAUAUCAUUACACACCUAGCAGGAUGGCUAAAAUUAAAUUAAGAAAAAAUAGUGAUAGUAAAUGCUGUUAGGAUGCAGAGAAGCUACAUCAUCACAUAUUGUUGGUAUGAAUGCAAAUGGUACAGCCACUCUGGAAAACAGUUGGGCAGUUUCUUACCAAACUAAACAUGCAAAUACCAUAUGACUUAGUAAUCCCAUUCCUGGACACUUGUCCCAGAGAAAUGAGGACUUCUGGUCCCACAGAAUCCUACACAUGAGUGCUUAUAGCAGCUUUAUUUGCAACAGUCAAAAGCUGGAAACAAUCCAGAUGUUCUUUAACAGGUGAUAUUUAAACAAACUGCAGCAUACCCAUGCCAUCAGCAAUAAAGAGGAGCAAAGCCUUGAUACACACAACUAUCUGGGUAAGUCUCCAAAGAAUUAUACUGAGUGAAAAAAGCUCAUCCCCAAAGGCAACCUACUGUAUGGUUCCACUUACACAGCAUUCUGGAAAUGACAUCAGUGAUUGCCAGGGGUCAAGGAGCAGAGUUGGUGUGACUAUUGAAAGGGCAACAUGGGGGACCUUUGUGGUGACGGAAUUUUCUGUAGCUCGACUGUAUCAGUGUCAAUAUCCAGGCUGUGACAUUGUGUUAUAUAGAGUUUUGCAAGGUAAAGGGGAAACGUUUGCAAGGUAAACGUUACCAUCGUAGACGGGAACUGGGUAAAAGGCACACAGAAUCUCUGUAUCAUUUCUUACAAUGGCAUGCAAAUGUACAAUUAUGUCAAAAUAAAAAGUUUA